GGGUUAACAGCUGAAAGAGCAGCAUCUCUGGAUGGAGAUUGUAGUUAUCUUGAGCUGUUAGUGGUUAUUGGAAGGGAGGGAGAAGAAUGAAUGAGAACACAGGAAAACUGGAAGAUGGAAAUAAGGCCCGUAUUCCUCAAGAUCAUGAACUCAACCAGGGAAUGGACACUAGAGCCUGGGAUGCCUCCAGUCUUAACCCUCCUAAUGAUCUCCUCUGCAUUGAGAGUGCUCUUCAAGGUCUGCUGUACUGAAGAUAGAUGGAAGACAGUGCUGAAACCAGAAGCACCAAAAGGCAACCAGCAUGUCAGGAGAAAAAAUAAACUUAUUUUUCCUUUAUGAACUUAAGUAGAAAAGUUUCAGACACCUUGUAUAUCUUGUAUUUCCCAUUAUGCUGUUCUCAUCCUGAAGAAGCUGUUACUGUGCUGUGAGACCCUGAGAUGGGGCAAGGAAACACA
Molecule: long non-coding RNA, 455 nt
Organism: Numida meleagris (helmeted guineafowl)
Lineage: Eukaryota; Metazoa; Chordata; Aves; Galliformes; Numididae
Exons: 4
Source: RefSeq, a predicted model, not a curated record